GUGCCAGCAGCCGCGGUAAUACGUAGGCAGCAAGCGUUGUUCGGAGUUACUGGGCGUAAAGAGUGCGUAGGCGGUUUCCUAAGUUUGGUGUGAAAUCUCCCGGCUUAACUGGGAGGGUGCGCCGAAGACUGGGGAGCUAGAGGAUGGGAAAGGCAAGCGGAAUUCCUGGUGUAGCGGUGAAAUGCGUAGAUAUCAGGAGGAACACCGGCGGUGUAGACGGCUUGCUAGACCACCCCUGACGCUGAGGCACGAAAGCGUGGGUAGCAAACAGGAUUAGAUACCCUGGUAGUCC
This 292-nucleotide ribosomal RNA is filed under the name uncultured bacterium. RNAcentral's name for it is "partial 16S ribosomal RNA". It matches the Rfam family "Bacterial small subunit ribosomal RNA", at positions 505 to 796 of the family's 1533-position model. The record is from RNAcentral.